CCAGUAAACGGCGGUGGUAACUAUAACCAUCCUAAGGUAGCGAAAUUCCUUGUCGGGUAAGUUCCGACCCGCACGAAAGGCGUAACGAUCUGAGCACUGUCUCGGAGAGAGACUCGGCGAAAUAGACAUGUCUGUGAAGAGGCGGACUACCUGCACCUGGACAGAAAGACCCUAUGAAGCUUUACUGUAGCUUGAAAUUGUUUUCACGUUUUGCACGCGCAGAAUAGGUGGGAGACUGAGAAGGGAUCUCUUCGGGGGUCUUGGAGUCACACGUGAGAUACCACUCUUGCAAGACUAGAAUUCUAACCUCAGACCGUUAUCCGGCUGAGGGACCAUUUUAGGUGGGCAGUUUGACUGGGGCGGUCGCCUCCCAAAAGGUAACGGAGGCGUGCAAAGGUU
Molecule: ribosomal RNA, 399 nt
Filed under: Pavlova sp. CCMP459
Lineage: Eukaryota; Haptophyta; Pavlovophyceae; Pavlovales; Pavlovaceae
Description: partial Bacterial large subunit ribosomal RNA
Rfam family: Bacterial large subunit ribosomal RNA
Source: RNAcentral